GAUCAAAUCAAGCGCGAAAAGGGCGUUUGGUGAAUGCCUUGGCAGUAAGAGGCGAUGAAAGACGUGAUACUCUGCGAUAAGUCAUGGGGAGCUGAGAAUAAGCUUUGAUCCAUGAAUUUCUGAAUGGGGCAACCCACCUGAUACUUUGUUAUUAUUACCCUUCGGGGUAGCUAAUAAUGAGGUAAAACAGGUAUUUUUAGGCUGAAUAUAUAGGCUUAAAAAGGCAAACCCGGGGAACUGAAACAUCUAAGUACCCGGAGGAAAGGAAAUCAAUUGAUACUCCCCUAGUAGCGGCGAGCGAACGGGGACCAGCCGAGCCUCAAUUGUGGUUAGAAUGCGUUGGAAUGCGCAACCAAAGUGGGUGAUAGUCCCGUAUAAGAAGCAUGAGAGGACGUAUUAAGUAGGGCGGAACACGUGAAAUUCUGUCUGAAGAUCGGAGGACCACCUUCGAAGGCUAAGUACUCCUUACUGACCGAUAGUGAACCAGUACCGUGAGGGAAAGGUGAAAAGCACCCCGACGAGGGGAGUGAAACAGUACCUGAAACCGAACGCCUACAAUCAGUUGGAGGGGCUUUACGCCCUGACAGCGUACCUUUUGUAUAAUGGGUCAUCGACUUGGUCUCACGAGCAAGCUUAAGCCGUUAGGUGUAGGCGCAGCGAAAGCGAGUCUUAAUAGGGCGUUGAGUUCGUGGGAUCAGACCCGAAACCGAGUGAUCUAGGCAUGGCCAGGUUGAAGGUAAGGUAACACUUACUGGAGGACCGAACCCACAUCCGUUGAAAAGGAUCGGGAUGAGCUGUGCCUAGGGGUGAAAGGCCAAUCAAACUCGGAGAUAGCUGGUUCUCUGCGAAAUCUAUUUAGGUAGAGCGUCAUCCGAAUACCCUCGGGGGUAGAGCACUGGAUGGGUAAUGGGGUCCCACAGACUUACUGAUCCUAACCAAACUCCGAAUACCGAGGAGUACUAGAUGGCAGACACACGGCGAAUGCUAACGUCCGUCGUGAAGAGGGAAACAACCCUAACCUCCAGCUAAGGCCCCUAAUUCAUGGCUAAGUGGGAAAGCAGGUGAGACGACCAAAACAACCAGGAGGUUGGCUUAGAAGCAGCCAUCCUUUAAAGAUAGCGUAACAGCUCACUGGUCUAAAUAAGUUGUCUUGCGGCGAAGAUGUAACGGGGCUCAAGCCAUGAGCCGAAGCUGAGGAUGCAUUUAUUGCAUGGUAGCAGAGCGUAGUGUGACAUAAUUCCAUGUCUCUUUUGCGGGUUUCGACCCGUAUUGGAGACGCGGAGUUUUCUGUGAAGCUGGCGCGUGAGCGAUCCGGUGGAGAGAUCACUAGUGAGAAUGAUGACAUGAGUAGCGACAAAGAGUGUGAGAGACACUCUCGCCGAAAGUCCAAGGGUUCCUGCUUAAAGCUAAUCUGAGCAGGGUAAGCCGACCCCUAAGGCGAGGCCGAAAGGCGUAGUCGAUGGGAACCAGGUUAAUAUUCCUGGGCCAGAUGGAAGUGACGGAUCUCGAGGGUAGUUCAUCCUUAUCGGAUUGAAUGGGCUGCUUAGAGGUUCCUGGAAAUAGCUCCAUCGCUAGAUCGUACCCUAAACCGACACAGGUGGACUGGUAGAGAAUACCAAGGCGCUUGAGAGAACUAUGUUGAAGGAACUCGGCAAAAUACCUCCGUAAGUUCGCGAGAAGGAGGCCCGGUUUCUAGGCAACUAGAGGCUGGGGGCACAAACCAGGGGGUGGCGACUGUUUAUUAAAAACACAGGGCUCUGCGAAGUCGCAAGACGACGUAUAGGGUCUGACGCCUGCCCGGUGCCUGAAGGUUAAAAGGAGGGGUGAGAGCUCUGAAUUGAAGCCCAGGUAAACGGCGGCCGUAACUAUAACGGUCCUAAGGUAGCGAAAUUCCUUGUCGGGUAAGUUCCGACCUGCACGAAUGGCGUAACGACUUCCCCGCUGUCUCCAACAUAGACUCAGCGAAAUUGAAUUACCUGUCAAGAUGCAGGUUUCCCGCGGUUAGACGGAAAGACCCCGUGCACCUUUACUACAACUUCACACUGGCAUUAGGCCGAACAUGUGCAGGAUAGGUGGUGGGCUUUGAAGCGUGAACGCCAGUUUGCGUGGAGCCUCCCUUGAGAUACCACCCUUGUUCUGCUUGAUGUCUAACCGCGGUCCGUUAUCCGGAUCCGGGACCCUGUGUGGUGGGUAGUUUGACUGGGGCGGUCGCCUCCUAAAUCGUAACGGAGGCGCGCGAAGGUUGGCUCAGAGCGGUCGGAAAUCGCUCGUUGAGUGCAAUGGCAGAAGCCAGCCUGACUGCGAGACUGACAAGUCGAGCAGAGUCGAAAGACGGCCAUAGUGAUCCGGUGGUCCCAAGUGGGAGGGCCAUCGCUCAACGGAUAAAAGGUACGCCGGGGAUAACAGGCUGAUACUGCCCAAGAGUCCAUAUCGACGGCAGUGUUUGGCACCUCGAUGUCGGCUCAUCUCAUCCUGGGGCUGGAGCAGGUCCCAAGGGUACGGCUGUUCGCCGUUUAAAGAGGUACGUGAGCUGGGUUUAGAACGUCGUGAGACAGUUCGGUCCCUAUCUUCCGUGGGUGUAGGAUACUUGAGAGGAGUUGCCCCUAGUACGAGAGGACCGGGGUGAACGAUCCACUGGUGGACCAGUUGUUAUGCCAAUAGCAGUGCUGGGUAGCUAUGAUCGGACAGGAUAACCGCUGAAGGCAUCUAAGCGGGAAGCCCCCCUCAAAACAAGGUAUCCCUGAGAGCCGAGGUAGACCACCUCGUCGAUAGGCCAGAGAUGUAAGUGCAGUAAUGCAUUCAGUUGACUGGUACUAAUUGCUCGAUAGGCUUGAUUUGAUCCAG
This 2844-nucleotide ribosomal RNA is filed under the name Sulfitobacter sp. SK011. RNAcentral describes it as "bacterial LSU rRNA". It matches the Rfam family "Bacterial large subunit ribosomal RNA". Lineage: Bacteria; Pseudomonadati; Pseudomonadota; Alphaproteobacteria; Rhodobacterales; Roseobacteraceae. The record is from RNAcentral.